UACGUAGGGGGCGAGCGUUGUCCGGAAUCAUUGGGCGUAAAGCGCGUGUAGGCGGCCCGGUAAGUCCGCUGUGAAAGUCCAGGGCUCAACCCUGGGAUGCCGGUGGAUACUGUCGGGCUCGAGUCCGGAAGAGGCGAGUGGAAUUCCUGGUGUAGCGGUGAAAUGCGCAGAUAUCGAGAGGAACACCGGUGGCGAAGGCGGCCUUCUGGACAGUGACUGACGCUGAGACGCGAAAGCGUGGGGAGCAAACAGG
RNAcentral lists this ribosomal RNA (253 nucleotides) under uncultured bacterium. RNAcentral's name for it is "partial 16S ribosomal RNA". It matches the Rfam family "Bacterial small subunit ribosomal RNA", at positions 524 to 776 of the family's 1533-position model. The record is from RNAcentral.